RNAcentral lists this ribosomal RNA (108 nucleotides) under uncultured Flavobacteriaceae bacterium. RNAcentral describes it as "partial 23S ribosomal RNA". It matches the Rfam family "Bacterial large subunit ribosomal RNA", at positions 1 to 108 of the family's 2925-position model. Lineage: Bacteria; Pseudomonadati; Bacteroidota; Flavobacteriia; Flavobacteriales; Flavobacteriaceae. The record is from RNAcentral.
GAUAGGCUAAUUAAGGGCGUAUGGGGGAUGCCUAGGCUCUCAGAGGCGAAGAAGGACGUGAUAAGCUGCGAAAAGCUGCGGGGAUCAGCACAUAUGAUAUGAUCCGCA